AGGAAUCUGCCCGGUAGUGGGGGAUAACGUGGGGAAACCCACGCUAAUACCGCAUACGUCCUACGGGAGAAAGCAGGGGAUCUUCGGACCUUGCGCUAUCGGAUGAGCCUAUGUCGGAUUAGCUAGUUGGUAAGGUAACGGCUUACCAAGGCGACGAUCCGUAGCUGGUCUGAGAGGAUGAUCAGCCACACUGGGACUGAGACACGGCCCAGACUCCUACGGGAGGCAGCAGUGGGGAAUAUUGGACAAUGGGCGAAAGCCUGAUCCAGCCAUGCCGCGUGUGUGAAGAAGGCUUUCGGGUUGUAAAGCACUUUCAGCGAGGAAGAAAGCCUCUGGGUUAAUACCCCAGAGGAAGGACAUCACUCGCAGAAGAAGCACCGGCUAACUCCGUGCCAGCAGCCGCGGUAAUACGGAGGGUGCGAGCGUUAAUCGGAAUUACUGGGCGUAAAGCGCGCGUAGGUGGCUUGGCACGCCGGUUGUGAAAGCCCCGGGCUCAACCUGGGAACGGCAUCCGGAACGGCCAGGCUAGAGUGCAGGAGAGGAAGGUAGAAUUCCCGGUGUAGCGGUGAAAUGCGUAGAGAUCGGGAGGAAUACCAGUGGCGAAGGCGGCCUUCUGGCCUGACACUGACA
RNAcentral lists this ribosomal RNA (630 nucleotides) under uncultured Halomonas sp. Its description in RNAcentral is "bacterial SSU rRNA". It matches the Rfam family "Bacterial small subunit ribosomal RNA", at positions 119 to 745 of the family's 1533-position model. Lineage: Bacteria; Pseudomonadati; Pseudomonadota; Gammaproteobacteria; Oceanospirillales; Halomonadaceae. The record is from RNAcentral.